AAAGCUCGUAGUUGGAUUUCUGUUGAGAACGGCCGGUCCGCACUAUGUGCGUGUAUCUGGUUCGGUCUUGGCAUCCUCUUGGGGAACGGCGCUGCGCUUGAUUGCGUGGGUCGGUAUUCAAGACUUUUACUUUGAGGAAAUUAGAGUGUUCACGGCAGGCCUUCGCCUUGAAUAUAUUAGCAUGGAAUAAUAAUAUAGGAUCUUGGUUCUAUUUUGUUGGUUUCUAGAACUAAGGUAAUGAUUAAUAGGGAUAAUUGGGGGCAUUUGUAUUAACGCGUCAGAGGUGGAAUUCUUGGAUUGCGUUACGACAAACUACUGCGAAAGCAUUUGCCAAGGAUGUUUUCAUUGAUCAAGAACGAAAGUGUGGGGAUCGAAGACGAUUAGAUACCGUCGUAGUCUACACCAUAAACUAUGCCAACUAGAGAUUGGAGGUCGUUCUUUUUAUGACUCCUUCAGCACCUUAUGAGAAAUCAAAGUCUUUGGGUUCCGGGGGGAGUAUGGUCGCAAGGCUGAAACUUAAAGGAAUUGACGGAAGGGCACCACCAGGAGUGGAGCCUGCGGCUUAAUUUGACUCAACACGGGAAAACU
This 588-nucleotide ribosomal RNA is filed under the name uncultured marine eukaryote. RNAcentral's name for it is "SSU rRNA". It matches the Rfam family "Eukaryotic small subunit ribosomal RNA", at positions 623 to 1215 of the family's 1831-position model. The record is from RNAcentral.